This 1266-nucleotide long non-coding RNA is filed under the name Neodiprion lecontei (redheaded pine sawfly). RNAcentral describes it as "uncharacterized LOC124293837, transcript variant X3". The record is from RNAcentral. Lineage: Eukaryota; Metazoa; Arthropoda; Insecta; Hymenoptera; Diprionidae.
CGAGCUUUCGCCGAGCUUGCAGCGCGUUACGCGCGUCUGAUAUAUCGGCCGAAUAACUUUAUCUCUUCCCCGUUAUAUUUCCGAGAUCGUUUCCAACUACCGUUGCAGUGAAAGAGCCGAUCGACGUUUCAAGUCUCCGCGAUUCGAUACCGUCAAGUUCCGACAAACACUGACGACGAUCGUUCCGCAGACACCCGCGUUGCUUCGAUCUCUCCUCGAUCAGCUUUGUAUUAAUCGACGUCUUCGCUAACGUAUCAAACACGCAUCGUGUCCGUCCGUGAGUCUCUCUAUCUCUCUAUCUCCCGAUACGUGUGGUCGCCCAGCUUUCGUUUUACACCAGAAGAACUAUCCGCGAUUCGGAUCGUCGAUAUAUUCUCCUCGGACAGAUCAUUUCCCAGAACUUACAACCGAUUGCAACCGACGACUUCACAACGACUGACACGUCUUAUUCCACUUCGAUGUAUAUCUCAAUUAUUCCGAUACUCAGAGAACAAAGUGGAAUAAUUACAGUGUUUUUCGCUAAUCGCGGAAAUGAUCGCGACGAGAAUGCGACACUGAGACUGCGGCAAGGCUUCGGUUUCUUAGAAACAGAGAGAGAAGGAGAAUUAGUUGUCAAAAUAAGACCGGGAUUGUUAUUGCCGACGACGAUAAGAAUCGUCGAUGAGCUUUUCUUCUUUUCAACGAAGAAGUUUAUACAUCUGUGCGUGUUCCUUGAAUUAUUACGGAGAUACUUCCGAAGUUAUUCGAAGCAAUUACGAAGGUUCGAAAAGUGAACUGCUCCUUGGGGAAAAUGAAACGUACAGAUAUCGAUCGUAUUACCUCAAAUGUGUGGGAUAAAAAGUGACCAGCACACAGUAAACCACACUAACUCCCAUCGAUGUCAGGGCUUCGAAUAUACAAGAAACUAUCAGAUUCUGUGUCGAUGACGUUACGAAGAAGAGACCAACGGCAGCAGCGCCCGGAAACACAGUGCUGACGACUGAAAAAUGAAAGUUGACGUCCGAUGCAUAAGGGAAGCCAGACGCUGGUGGGAAUGCAGGCCAGACCCAGAAAAAUUGUGUAAAGGAAGACGGAACCCUGGAGUUUGGUCUCACACCCAAAUUCAUCUACGACGUCUACCUGCUGAAGAUUGUUUUAAGCACAUCAGCCACUACUUACGGGAUAAUUUUCGGCCGGCUUUCCCGAGUUCUCAGCGUACAUCCGAGCCAGAAUCUGCAUCGCUCGGUGAUCCUGACUGUCCUCAAACAGGUACUUUGGUGAUUCUGG